AUGACAUGCUUGAGCUGGAACUGCCGGGGGCUUGGGAACCCCGAGGCAGUUCGUGAGCUUCGCAGUAUAGUGAAGCUGGAAGGACCCACCCUCCUCUUUGUAAUGGAAGCGAAAAUUCAAGCAAAAAGAGUUGAGGCAUUGAAGUAUUCUCUCGGUUUUGGAGGUUCUUUUGCAGUCGACAGUGUCGGCCUUAGCGGCGGCAUUGGUCUUUUC
Molecule: ribosomal RNA, 213 nt
Filed under: Triticum aestivum (bread wheat)
Lineage: Eukaryota; Viridiplantae; Streptophyta; Magnoliopsida; Poales; Poaceae
Description: partial small subunit ribosomal RNA
Source: RNAcentral